CAGCCGCCGCGGUAAUACAGAGGGUGCGAGCGUUAAUCGGAUUUACUGGGCGUAAAGCGUGCGUAGGCGGCUUUUUAAGUCGGAUGUGAAAUCCCUGAGCUUAACUUAGGAAUUGCAUUCGAUACUGGGAAGCUAGAGUAUGGGAGAGGAUGGUAGAAUUCCAGGUGUAGCGGUGAAAUGCGUAGAGAUCUGGAGGAAUACCGAUGGCGAAGGCAGCCAUCUGGCCUAAUACUGACGCUGAGGUACGAAAGCAUGGGGAGCAAACAGGAUUAGAUACCCCCGUAGUCCCUGUCUUUAUACA
Molecule: ribosomal RNA, 301 nt
Filed under: uncultured bacterium
Lineage: Bacteria
Description: partial 16S ribosomal RNA
Rfam family: Bacterial small subunit ribosomal RNA
Source: RNAcentral